This 1038-nucleotide long non-coding RNA is filed under the name Carassius auratus (goldfish). RNAcentral describes it as "lncRNA (ENSCARG00000034113.1)". Lineage: Eukaryota; Metazoa; Chordata; Actinopteri; Cypriniformes; Cyprinidae. The record is from RNAcentral.
AUGGGCAAAUGUUUGUUUAAUGACAAGUGGUUGGAGGACGAAAAGUAUCGGGGGUGGCUGAAGAAAACAGCCAGUAAUCAUGAAGCGAGGUGUGCUUUAUGUAAAAAGACGAUAAAGCUGGGGACAAUGGGCCACAUAGCGCUCGAUUCACACAUGAAAGCAGAGAAGCACAAGAAGUGUGUGUCGUCGCAAGCAAGUAGUUUGCCCAUAAGUAUGUUCUCAUCGAGCACUUCGACCUCUCAGCCUUCCACUUCAAGCAAUGCCUUCGGCAGCUUUGCGAAUGUAGCUACACUUAAGGCCGAAAUACUGUGGGUAUUUCAAACCGUAAGCCGCCACAACUCGUACACCUCAAAUGAGGACAUCCACCUAGUUUUUCAAGCAAUGUUCCCUGACUCAGAGUGUGCGAGUACGUUCACAUGUGGAAGGGAUAAAACCGCAUAUUUAGCACGAUUUGGUGUUGCCCCAUACAUAAAGAAGGAACUCAUUUCACGGGCAAACAAGGAUGCUUUCAUCAUAAUGUUCGAUGAGUCCAUGAACACAACAACGAAAACUAAACAGUUGGACUUGCACGUCAGAUGUUGGUCAACUGACGAGACCGGGACCCCGAUUGUCAGGUCUCGCUAUCUGGGUUCUCAGUUUUUGGGCCACUCAACGGCAGAAGACUUGCUGGAACAUUUUAAGGAGGGCACCAAGGAACUUAAUUUACGGAACUUGCUUUCUGUAUCAAUGGAUGGACCUGCAGUCAAUUGGAAAUUCAUGGAUCUCCUACAAUUGGAACAUGGAGAACAGUUUGGGGGGAUUCAACUCCAAGUGCAAGAAGAGAGGAUUUCACAUCUGCAACACUGUCGUCCACAUUCCCCUUAUCCUUCUGUGGCCAUCGCUGGCUCGAAAAUGUGCCUGCUGCAGAGAGGGCCAUUGAAAUUUGGCCCUCUAUUGAGAAGUUUGUUGACCAAGUGUCAACAAAGAAGCAAGAGUCUUUCAACCAUUUCUGGAAAAAUAUCAAAAAGAUGCUCCCAUGAUGCCCUUCCUGUGGAAUGA